AUACGUCGGAUGCAAGCGUUGUCCGGAAUUACUGGGCGUAAAGGGUCCGUAGGCGGUUUGUUAAGUCUCCUGUGAAAGUUCAGGGCUCAACCCUGAAAUGUCGGGGGAUACUGGCAAACUCGAGACUGUCAGAGGCAAGUGGAAUUCCCGGUGUAGUGGUGAAAUGCGUAGAUAUCGGGAGGAACACCAGUGGCGAAAGCGGCUUGCUGGGACAGUUCUGACGCUGAGGGACGAAAGCGUGGGUAGCAAACCGGAUUAGAAACCCCAGUAGUCC
This 274-nucleotide ribosomal RNA is filed under the name uncultured bacterium. RNAcentral's name for it is "partial 16S ribosomal RNA". It matches the Rfam family "Bacterial small subunit ribosomal RNA", at positions 523 to 796 of the family's 1533-position model. The record is from RNAcentral.